AGCAGCCGCGGUAAUUCCAGCUCCAAUAGCGUAUAUUAAAGUUGUUGCAGUUAAAAAGCUCGUAGUUGAAUUUCGGGGUUUAUCCGUUGGUCGGGCUUUCGUGCCUGUACUGGCGUGAUGGAUUCCUACCUUCUGAAUAACCAGCAUGUCAUUAAUUUGGUGCGCUGGGGAAGCAGGACUGUUACCUUGAAAAAAUUAGAGUGCUUAAAGCAGGCUAUUGCCUGAAUACAUUAGCAUGGAAUAAUGAAAUAGGACGCAUGGUUCUAUUUUGUUGGUUUCUAGGAUCACCGUAAUGAUUAAUAGGGAUAGUUGGGGGCAUUAGUAUUCAAUUGUCAGAGGUGAAAUUCUUGGAUUUAUUGAAGACUAACUUCUGCGAAAGCAUUUGCCAAGGAUGUUUUCAUUAAUCAAGAACGAAAGUUAGGGGGUCGAAGACGAUCAGAUACCGUCGUAGUCUUAACCAUAAACUAUGCCGACUAGGGAUCGGACGAUGUUAAUUUUUAAUGACUCGUUCGGCGCCUUA
RNAcentral lists this ribosomal RNA (520 nucleotides) under uncultured Acaulospora. RNAcentral's name for it is "SSU rRNA". It matches the Rfam family "Eukaryotic small subunit ribosomal RNA", at positions 569 to 1090 of the family's 1831-position model. Lineage: Eukaryota; Fungi; Glomeromycota; Glomeromycetes; Diversisporales; Acaulosporaceae. The record is from RNAcentral.